This is a long non-coding RNA of Amphiprion ocellaris (clown anemonefish), 3552 nucleotides long. RefSeq lists it as uncharacterized. NCBI's taxonomy places the organism in Eukaryota, Metazoa, Chordata, Actinopteri, Pomacentridae. The transcript is spliced from 7 exons. The record is from RefSeq and is a predicted model, not a curated record.
UGGAUUUGACUCGCCAUGCACACAUUCCUCUUUGACUACACUAGAUGAUUGUAUGGGUUCUCGUGGACACAAAAAUAAUAUUGCUAAUAAUAAUAAUGACAAUAACUAUUGAAGAGCACGUUUCUUAUUUGCCAUGUUUGUCUGUAACCCUAUGUACUCUUCACUUAUAUUCUGUGUUAUGAAACAUUUAAACGGUGCUGCUACAUUCAUGAGAUGCUCUACAAAUACAGACUGAUGUCAUUUUCACUUGGGGCUUGUGCAAAUGAAGAUUAUAUGGAUUAUUAUGGAUUUUUGCAAAAUAUGUCAGGGUUUAUUGGUAAAGAGGUCAGUAAAGAGGGUGUGCUUAUGUAACUGGUGAUGAGUUUUUAUUGAGAAAUAAUUGGGAUUCAAGCAGUUCCUGUUUUUACUCACUAUCUCCCCAGCCUUAGAAAAAAAAACCUGUUCACACGGCACAGAUGAAAUGUUUGGCUCCAUUGUACAAGUUAGGGUAAACGGUUUUGUGGGUGGCCCAGUAAGCCCGUGGGUCUGCCGUUCUUUCUACAAUUGCAUUCGCUGUGUCACUUUGCAUUUGCCAGGCUCUACUUGCGUCUUCGUCCAAUAGGUAGUGAUGGCUGAUCGAGGCUUUGUUGAAGCUUCGACACUUCAUUCAAAACACGGUUCAUUACUCGAGACCUCAGGGCUUUCGACCAAAGAGCACCAGGUGCUUGGUUGGUUCAAAGUUGAGAGCCAGUGCUUUUUUGGUUCAAAUCUCAUGCCGCCCCAGAACGGGUUUGUGUUUCCAUUCAGAAGGAGCAAAGUUGGAGCUGCGUCAUUGCGCCACCACAAAACGUGUGUACGUCACUGCGUACGUAGCCGUUCAACAGCGUUCACGCCGUACGGAAACCUACACAACAACAAUGGAGGACUUCAUUGGAGUGGUGUUCAUGGCUUUGCUAGUGUGUCUCGCCAUUGCUGAACAGCAAAACCUUCUGUUAGGGGUUACCCAUCGGCGUCGCCGUUCCAAUGCCCAGCGAUCACGUUUGAGAAGAAAGAUGUUUUUAGAUGUCACCCCGCCCUCUGCCCGUGAUGUGCUCGGCUCUCAACUCUGGCCACCUCUGGCCCAGCAACGAGUUGGUGCCCGAAACGGCCCCAGAGUUUGGAGCCCGGAGCCGCAGCUCCGGUGGUCGAAACACAAAAAAGCGGCGCCAAGUCGGGCGCCGGCUCCAACUCCGAACGGGCUCCACCCCGGUCGAAAAGAGGGACACACAGCUCGAGUAGGACAUCUAGUGGUCAGUAAAAUGAAGUGCAAUCAAGACGUGGUCAUUGGUUGAUGGAUUGUUUUGGAUAGGAUUCGCCAUGCACACAUUCACACAGGAAUUGAGGAAAUGAAGCAGCGACUCACCCUCGUUCUCUGUCUUUUCUCCAUGCUGAGGCUCAUGUCUCUGAAUGCAUGUGGACUCCACACAGAGACCAAAAGAACAGGUGUUUUCAGGGAGGAGAAAAGUAAAGGUGAUGUGUUUACAGGAGACCAAGUGGGACGAGAAAAUUGUGGAUGAAAUUCAGAAGGAGUGGAGGGGAGGAUGUUUUGUCUCUAACGGUACACCGGCGGCACAGGGCGAAGCAGUGCUGGUUCCAGAGGAAUUCAUGGAAACUGUGAAAAUAAUAGGUAAAGAUCAGGAUGGUAGACUAAUUAUAACUGAAUUUAAAUAUAAUAACGAAACAUGCAGGGUCAUAAAUGUGCAUUUAGAUCAUUUUGUGGAUCAUUGUGGACAUUUUGCAUCUGUUUAAGGUUUUUCUGUUCAAUUUGCUAUUCUUAAUGUAUUUUGUGUGUUUACAGCUAAGAAGGGUCAACCUAACAGGCUCCCUUGGUUAAUGAUUGGAUCGACAUAUACAAAAUGGAAAGAUUGACAUAUUAUCUCAAACUCCGUCAAGACGCGUUUGCCAAUAUAUGGUCUAAGUGGACUGUACAUAUAGCUCCCAGAAGAGCAGAAUUUAUAUGAUACAUACCAUGUUUUUAACUCAAAUAUUUACCUUCCUCCCAGUUCUAUGAUAUAUAUGUAGUUCUGUUGGUACCAGACAGAAUCUUUAAUGAAAGAUAAGACACAAGUUAACACAUAUUUAAACAUUUAUCCUUUCUCUCCUUCUCCUACUUCUGAUUCUGCAUAUGAAAGAUAAUAAGGAGGAAAACUUUAGUGGGAUAUUUCUGUUAUCAUUUAAGCUUAUUUCUGGAUUUUUAAAAAAAAUGUAUUUCUCUUUCCCUCAGUCUGCCUAAUUCUUUUCCUUCAAGAAUACCCUCGUGACUUGUGUAUUUACACUUGUGACAUGGUUGGAAUGUGCUCUGUAAACCUCUGGAUACCAAUAAAUAAUAAAUUACAAAAAAAAAAGAAGGGUCAACCUAACUUCAGUAAGGGGGAUGUGGUGUUAUCCAGAAUCUGCCACUAGAGGGCAGACCAUGCAUCGAUAUUUUCUGAGUACUGCAUGAGAAGAGACUACUGAGAAGAACUGCAUUGUUGUUGCAGCCAGUUAAUAAAGAGGCUCAGUGAUUACUCAAAGCAGCAAUCUGUAUUUGCAAAAGAACCCAAUACAACAGCUGCUGCUCAUUCAUUGGACACAGCAUCAGGAAACGAUUUCAAGCAGAAGAUCCACCACUGGCUGUCAACUAAAACCUCUCUGGGUUUUGAAAAUCCAACAAGUGAACUGAUUCUGCCUCCACGUUUUCUGUUUGUUGGUUCCUCCUCCGACCAGCAGGCGGCGCCUCCUGCUUUGGAUUGAGGCUGUUUGUGAGGAAGUUGAGGUGGAUCAGCCGCAGCUGAUUCUGGUUUGUUGUUGUUCCUGUUGUGGCUGUACAGUAACUCCAGAUACAGGAUGCAGGACAGUGAAUCCAGUGUCUCAUGUGGCCCUGCAGCUUCUCCUCCUCCACCUCCUCCUGAAGCCUUCAUCUUCUUCAUCAUCAGCUGCUCAGUGACUCUGUUGGACGUCUCACCGUGUGGCAGCAGCUCAGGAGUUUGCAGUCAACCAAGGCCGACUCAGAAUCACUCCCACCGGGAAGAUCUGUGAAGGAAGGUCCACCCGGCUGGUCCAGAAGCUCCGGUCCAGCAGAGCAGCGUCAGGAUGGAGACGUAACCGGGAGUUUGCAGUCAACCAAGGCCGACUCAGAAUCACUCCCACCGGGAAGAUCUGUGAAGGAAGGUCCACCCGGCUGGUCCAGAAGCUCCGGUCCAGCAGAGCAGCGUCAGGAUGGAGACGUAACCGGUGUUGAUGUCACCGCCUUGACGAAUAGAAGAAAAGCCUGUAUUUGGGUAUGAAGGGCUGGUAGUCCAGAGGUAGUGAUGCUGGUUUGGAACCUGGAGAGUGCAGGUUCGAUUCCCGACCCUGCUCAAGCUUUUUUUUCACAUUUGGGCAAAAUUUGCCAAAAAUCUUCUUGAAAGACAUUGGAAGGAAAGUUGCCUUAUUGCCUUAUUGCCUUAUUGCCUUAUUGCCUUAUUGCCUUAUUGCCUUAUUGCCUUAUUGCCUUAUUGCCUUAUUGCCUUAUUGCCUUAUUGCCUUAUUGCCUUAUUGCCUUAUUGCCUUAUU